GUGAUCUCACACUAGCUCAUGGGUUUUCAGUUUCAGUUUCAGUUUCCCCCUUUGUAUAGAUGUAAUCCACAUGAGCCACCAGAGUUCUUCUGAUCAAGCACUCAUCUUCCUCCACUCCUUCACAGCUCUCCUCGGUCUCAGCUUUCUCUGCCUUCACAUUCAGAGAAUCACUAGCGAAGCCAGGCUCCUGGCGAGCAGCAUGAGUAACCACCAAGGUGAGGACAAGGACUAGGGCAAAAAUGGUGCCGAGCUUAGGCAUGUUUGCUAUUCAACCGUGGAUUGUUUUCU
This 288-nucleotide unclassified non-coding RNA is filed under the name Hevea brasiliensis (rubber tree). Lineage: Eukaryota; Viridiplantae; Streptophyta; Magnoliopsida; Malpighiales; Euphorbiaceae. The record is from RNAcentral.